RNAcentral lists this unclassified non-coding RNA (200 nucleotides) under fungal sp. Its description in RNAcentral is "partial internal transcribed spacer 2". Lineage: Eukaryota; Fungi. The record is from RNAcentral.
UUAAGUUCAGCGGGUCUUCUUGCCUGAUUUGAGAUCACAUUGUGUACAGAGUGUGGCGCCUCGCGGCGUCACGACCAGAAACGUUGCAGAGCUGCGUGUCCGUCCUCCCGUUGUGAUUACUUUGCGCCGGAGCACAAACAUCCUCACGUAAGAGCACGGCCACGUCGCCCUCGUUCCUCGCUGCAUUUUAGGCAACAGCA